UACGAGGGGUGCAAGCGUUGCUCGGAAUUAUUGGGCGUAAAGGGUAGGUAGGUGGUCUCAUUUGUCUGGGGUGAAAGCCUUGAGCUUAACUCAAGAAGUGCCCCAGAAACGGUGAGACUCGAGUACUGGAGAGGGUCGUGGAAUUCCCGGUGUAGCGGUGAAAUGCGUAGAGAUCGGGAGGAACACCAGUGGCGAAGGCGGCUCUUUGGUCUGUAACUGACGCUGAGGCGCGAAAGCGUGGGGAGCAAACAGG
RNAcentral lists this ribosomal RNA (253 nucleotides) under uncultured prokaryote. Its description in RNAcentral is "partial 16S ribosomal RNA". It matches the Rfam family "Bacterial small subunit ribosomal RNA", at positions 524 to 776 of the family's 1533-position model. The record is from RNAcentral.